UACGUAGGUGGCGAGCGUUGUCCGGAAUUACUGGGUGUAAAGGGCGUGUAGGCGGGACGGUAAGUCAGAUGUGAAAUUCCGAAGCUUAACUUCGGCGCUGCAUCUGAAACUAUCGUUCUUGAGUGCUGGAGAGGAAAGCGGAAUUCCUAGUGUAGCGGUGAAAUGCGUAGAUAUUAGGAGGAACACCAGUGGCGAAGGCGGCUUUCUGGACAGUAACUGACGCUGAGGCGCGAAAGCGUGGGGAGCAAAC
RNAcentral lists this ribosomal RNA (250 nucleotides) under uncultured Clostridium sp. RNAcentral describes it as "partial 16S ribosomal RNA". It matches the Rfam family "Bacterial small subunit ribosomal RNA", at positions 524 to 773 of the family's 1533-position model. Lineage: Bacteria; Bacillati; Bacillota; Clostridia; Eubacteriales; Clostridiaceae. The record is from RNAcentral.